This 406-nucleotide ribosomal RNA is filed under the name uncultured bacterium. RNAcentral's name for it is "partial 16S ribosomal RNA". It matches the Rfam family "Bacterial small subunit ribosomal RNA", at positions 29 to 526 of the family's 1533-position model. The record is from RNAcentral.
AUUGAACGCUGGCGGCAGGCCUAACACAUGCAAGUCGAACGCGUGGCGGACGGGUGAGUAAUGUCUGGGAAACUGCCUGAUGGAGGGGGGUAACUACGGGAAACGGUAGCUAAUACCGCAUACGAUCGGAGGUGCGCAGAUGGGAUUAGCUAGUAGGGGGGGUAACGGCGCACCUAGGCGACGAUCCCUAGCUGGUCUGAGAGGAUGACCAGCCACACUGGAACGGAGACACGGUCCAGACUCCUACGGGAGGCAGCAGUGGGGAAUAUUGCACAAUGGGCGCAAGCCUGAUGCAGCCAUGCCGCGUGUAUGAAGAAGGCCUUCGGGUUGUAAAGUACUUUCAGCGGGGAGGCGUUACCCGCAGAAGAAGCACCGGCUAACUCCGUGCCAGCCGCCGCGGUAAUAC